This 459-nucleotide ribosomal RNA is filed under the name uncultured bacterium. RNAcentral's name for it is "partial 16S ribosomal RNA". It matches the Rfam family "Bacterial small subunit ribosomal RNA", at positions 338 to 795 of the family's 1533-position model. The record is from RNAcentral.
CCUACGGGAGACAGCAGUGAGGAAUAUUGGUCAAUGGCCGCAGGGCUGAACCAGCCAAGUCGCGUGAGGGAUGACGGUCCUAUGGAUUGUAAACCUCUUUUGUCAGGGAGCAAAGGGCGCCACGUGUGGCGCUUUGCGAGUACCUGAAGAAAAAGCAUCGGCUAACUCCGUGCCAGCAGCCGCGGUAAUACGGAGGAUGCGAGCGUUAUCCGGAUUUAUUGGGUUUAAAGGGUGCGCAGGCGGAAUGUCAAGUCAGCGGUAAAAUUUCGGGGCUCAACCCCGUCGUGCCGUUGAAACUGGCGUUCUUGAGUGAGCGAGAAGUAUGCGGAAUGCGUGGUGUAGCGGUGAAAUGCAUAGAUAUCACGCAGAACUCCGAUUGCGAAGGCAGCAUACCGGCGCUCAACUGACGCUCAUGCACGAAAGCGUGGGUAUCGAACAGGAGUAGAUACCCUAGUAGUC